This 506-nucleotide ribosomal RNA is filed under the name uncultured bacterium. Its description in RNAcentral is "partial 16S ribosomal RNA". It matches the Rfam family "Bacterial small subunit ribosomal RNA", at positions 29 to 523 of the family's 1533-position model. The record is from RNAcentral.
AGUGAACGCUGGCGGUAGGCCUAACACAUGCAAGUCGAACGGCAGCACAGGAGAGCUUGCUCUCUGGGUGGCGAGUGGCGGACGGGUGAGGAAUACAUCGGAAUCUACUCUGUCGUGGGGGAUAACGUAGGGAAACUUACGCUAAUACCGCAUACGACCUACGGGUGAAAGCAGGGGACCUUCGGGCCCUGCGCGAUUGAAUGAGCCGAUGUCGGAUUAGCUAGUUGGCGGGGUAAAGGCCCACCAAGGCGACGAUCCGUAGCUGGUCUGAGAGGAUGAGCGGCAACACUGGAACUGAGACACGGUCCAGACUCCUACGGGAGGCAGCAGUGGGGAAUAUUGGACAAUGGGCGCAAGCCUGAUCCAGCCAUACCGCGUGGGUGAAGAAGGCCUUCGGGUUGUAAAGCCCUUUUGUUGGGAAAGAAAUCCAGCUGGCUAAUACCCGGUUGGGAUGACGGUACCCAAAGAAUAAGCACCGGCUAACUUCGUGCCAGCCGCCGCAGUAA